AAAAAAAUAGAUAAAACUAGUAUCUCAAUUGUUUGUAAAACAAUUGAAAGGUCUUUCCUGUAAAAGUGAUGUUUUCGUAAUGUACUUUGUACGACCUUUCGUUUGAUAUACGACAAGCGUACCUUCUGAAACUUUUCGCUUUUUACACUUAAUGACCUCAUCCGCCUACAUUUUCGGGAUCGGAAGUAUGAUAUAUGUAACAUAGAGUAUAUUAGCUUUCAUUUGAUAUGCGACAACGCCAUGUUCUAGAAAGUUUCAUUUUUGCACUUAAUAACCCUAUCCAACUAAUUUUUGGAGGUCGGGAAUUUGAUAUUUCAAAUGUACAAAUCAUGACCUUUCAUUUGAUAUACAACAACCCUAUCUUAAAAGAAAAUUUACUUUUUGCACUCAAUAACCCCAUCCAACCCAUUUUUGGGAGACGUCAAUUUGAAAUUUGAAAUGUACACUUUAUGUUCUUUCAUUUGAUAUGCGACAACCUUACCAUCUGAGAAAUUUGAAUUUUUGCACUAAAUGACCCCACCCGUCCCCCUGGGAUGAAAAGGGUGUUUAAAAUUUUCAUUUAUAAGUAGAGUUUAUUAAGACCUUCAAUUUGAUAUAUCAGAUGACCCCAUUUGACAAAGUGCAAAUAAUGAUGCAAUAUCAACUAUAUAAAUAGAAGUUAUGAAACUUACAAAGUCAAUGCAAAACAUGAAAAUUUCAAAUUGAAUUUUUGGUUGUUUUUUUCCAUGGAAUGUUUUUGGUAUUUGGUCAAACAUAUAACUAUGUUAACCUAUCAUUUUCUAAAACAUUUUAAGUGGUAAACUCUUGUUGAUUCAGAAAUACAUGCCUCCGCUCGCAAAACUUCAAAUUGCAUUAUCUCUAAAACGACAAUAGAUAUCUCAAAUCUGUUAAAUGAUAAAUGAUCUACAGUUGAAGGACAACAUUAUAGAAAAAGAAUUGGGACAAUUUCAAAGUUCACCAAGGUCACAAUUAAUCAUCAAAUAUAUGAUGCAAUACCAAACUUAAGAACCGGAAGUCGUAGAGACAUGGGACAACCACCAUUCAACUCAGGACCACUUAACCUUU
This 1065-nucleotide long non-coding RNA is filed under the name Mytilus galloprovincialis (Mediterranean mussel). Lineage: Eukaryota; Metazoa; Mollusca; Bivalvia; Mytilida; Mytilidae. The record is from RNAcentral.